UACGGAGGGUGCAAGCGUUAAUCGGAAUUACUGGGCGUAAAGCGCACGCAGGUGGCUGAGUCAGUCGAUUGUGAAAGCCCUGGGCUUAACCUGGGAAUUGCAGUCGAUACUACUCAGCUAGAGUAUGGGAGAGGGUAGUGGAAUUCCCGGUGUAGCGGUGAAAUGCUUAGAUAUCGUCAAGAACACCUAUAGCGAAGGCAGCUUACUAGGCUGUAACUGACGCUGAGGCACGAAAGUGUGGGGAUCAAACAGG
RNAcentral lists this ribosomal RNA (253 nucleotides) under uncultured bacterium. RNAcentral's name for it is "partial 16S ribosomal RNA". It matches the Rfam family "Bacterial small subunit ribosomal RNA", at positions 524 to 776 of the family's 1533-position model. The record is from RNAcentral.